GUCCAGACUCCUACGGGAGGCAGCAGUGAGGAAUAUUGGUCAAUGGCCGAGAGGCUGAACCAGCCAAGUCGCGUGAGGGAAGAAUGUCCUAUGGAUUGUAAACCUCUUUUGUCAGGGAGCAAAGUCACCCACGUGUGGGUGUUGGAGAGUACCUGAAGAAAAAGCAUCGGCUAACUCCGUGCCAGCAGCCGCGGUAAUACGUAGGGAGCAAGCGUUAUCCGGAUUUAUUGGGUGUAAAGGGUGCGUAGACGGAGAAGCAAGUUAGUUGUGAAAUCCCUCGGCUUAACUGAGGAACUGCAACUAAAACUACUUCCCUUGAGUACUGGAGAGGAAAGUGGAAUUCCUAGUGUAGCGGUGAAAUGCGUAGAUAUUAGGAGGAACACCAGUGGCGAAGGCGACUUUCUGGACAGUAACUGACGUUGAGGCACGAAAGUGUGGGGAGCAAACAGGAUUAGAUACCCCAGUAU
This 467-nucleotide ribosomal RNA is filed under the name uncultured bacterium. Its description in RNAcentral is "bacterial SSU rRNA". It matches the Rfam family "Bacterial small subunit ribosomal RNA", at positions 329 to 793 of the family's 1533-position model. The record is from RNAcentral.